This 399-nucleotide ribosomal RNA is filed under the name Actinomycetes bacterium. RNAcentral's name for it is "bacterial SSU rRNA". It matches the Rfam family "Bacterial small subunit ribosomal RNA", at positions 1 to 399 of the family's 1533-position model. The record is from RNAcentral. Lineage: Bacteria; Bacillati; Actinomycetota; Actinomycetes.
UUUAUGGAGAGUUUGAUCCUGGCUCAGGACGAACGCUGGCGGCGUGCUUAACACAUGCAAGUCGAACGGAAAUAAAGGAGCUUGCUCCUUUAAAUUAGUGGCGAACGGGUGAGUAACACGUGGGCAACCUGCCCCUGACUCUGGGAUAACUACUCGAAAGAGUAGCUAAUACCGGAUAUGAAACCUGAAGACAUCUUCGGGUUUGGAAAGUUUUUCGGUCAGGGAUGGGCCCGCGGCCUAUCAGCUAGUUGGUGAGGUACCGGCUCACCAAGGCGACGACGGGUAGCCGGCCUGAGAGGGCGACCGGCCACACUGGGACUGAGACACGGCCCAGACUCCUACGGGAGGCAGCAGUGGGGAAUAUUGCGCAAUGGGCGAAAGCCUGACGCAGCAACGCCG